GACGAACGCUGGCGGCGUGCUUAACACAUGCAAGUCGAACGGUGAAGGGACUGGUUUUGCUGGUCCUGGAUGAGUGGCGAACGGGUGAGUAACACGUGAGUAACCUGCCCCCUUCUUCUGGAUAACCGCAUGAAAGUGUGGCUAAUACGGGAUAUUCUGGGUCUGUCGCAUGGUGGGCCUGGGAAAGAUUGCGCCUUUUUUGGUGUUUUUGGUGGGGGAUGGGCUCGCGGCCUAUCAGCUUGUUGGUGGGGUGAUGGCCUACCAAGGCGGUGACGGGUAGCCGGCCUGAGAGGGUGGACGGUCACACUGGGACUGAGACACGGCCGAGACUCCUACGGGAGGCAGCAGUGGGGAAUAUUGCACAAUGGGCGCAAGCCUGAUGCAGCGACGCCGCGUGAGGGAUGGAGGCCUUCGGGUUGUGAACCUCUUUCGCCAGUGAAGCAGGCCUGCCUCUUUUUGUGGGUGGGUUGACGGUAGCUGGAUAAGAAGCGCCGGCUAACUACGUG
RNAcentral lists this ribosomal RNA (506 nucleotides) under uncultured bacterium. RNAcentral's name for it is "partial 16S ribosomal RNA". It matches the Rfam family "Bacterial small subunit ribosomal RNA", at positions 28 to 507 of the family's 1533-position model. The record is from RNAcentral.